Molecule: long non-coding RNA, 799 nt
Organism: Pseudophryne corroboree (corroboree frog)
Lineage: Eukaryota; Metazoa; Chordata; Amphibia; Anura; Myobatrachidae
Exons: 4
Source: RefSeq, a predicted model, not a curated record
GCCACCAGACACUAGGAGGAAUGUCAGCAUGUCCCGGCUGCAGCAUGGACCACUCAGCUGAUGAGAGAGAGCAGGGGGCGCCGCAGAGCAGGCACUGCAGUGAGCAGCAGCAGGCGGGACCACACGGCGCACCGCCGGCCGGCGGUAGGGCAGUAUUUUUAGCCUCCCUGAUCGUGGGACUUCCCGCAGGAUGAUGCUGCCUCUCUGAUGCCCCUCCCGCUGCAGGGAUGCGGCCAGCUUCACGUGUCUGAGGAUGGUGCGUACCCUACUCACACGAACAAAUAGAAAUCUCCCUCCUAUCUGGGUUUCUUUCGUCCAUGAUGUCUUAUGGCAAUAAUUCACAAAGAGUGCAACAUCCAGUGAAGAAAACCAAUAAAAAAUCUUUUCCAAGGAAACCAGUCCGCCGGGAUAAAAACUGACUCUGCCUCCCCGGCCGUCACUCACCACAGGCCGCUCCUCUCCUCCUCCUACUGUCUGCGUCACCGUCAGUCGCCUCGGAGUAGCCGCUCGACAGUGCCACUGGAGUCUUCCUUCCUUUCCGGCCGGCCCGGAUAAGCCGCUGCUGCUGCCGGAGAGAGGACCCGUUGCCGCCGCUCCUGGAUGUCACGACCACCACAGCUGACUCCGCCUCCCCGGCCGUCACCACAGGCCGCUCCUCUCCUCCUACUACUGUCUGCGUCACCGUCAGUCGCCUCGGAGUAGCCGCUCGACAGUGCCACUGGAGUCUCCCUUCCUUUCCGGCCCGGAUAAGCCGCUGCUGCCGCCGGAGAGAGGACCCAUUGCCGCCGCUCCUGGAUGU